This 274-nucleotide ribosomal RNA is filed under the name uncultured bacterium. RNAcentral describes it as "partial 16S ribosomal RNA". It matches the Rfam family "Bacterial small subunit ribosomal RNA", at positions 523 to 796 of the family's 1533-position model. The record is from RNAcentral.
AUACGGAGGGUGCAAGCGUUACUCGGAAUCACUGGGCGUAAAGCGCGCGCAGGCGGCUUGAUAAGUUGGAUGUGAAAGCCUACGGCUCAACCGUAGAACUGCAUCCAAAACUGUCAGGCUAGAGUGUGGGAGAGGAAGAUGGAAUUAGUUGUGUAGGGGUAAAAUCCGUAGAGAUAACUAGGAAUACCAAAAGCGAAGGCAAUCUUCUGGAACACUACUGACGCUGAGGCGCGAAGGCGUGGGGAGCAAACAGGAUUAGAAACCCGUGUAGUCC